GCUUUAUUAUUGGAUGUAAAAAUAUGCAUAUACAAACUUAGAAAACAUUGUUAUAUGUUACUAGAUGUGUUAACAUGCUAAAAAUAUCACAAAACAGGAAAAUAGAGCGACAAUAUUAUUCAAAGAUACAUAAACAGAUAAAUGAUUAUAUGCUAUUAAAAUUGUUAGCAAUCUAACAUUGGAUUUUUAGGCUAUUAAAUAUGUUAACAGUCUAACAGUAAAUCAUAGCUAUGUUAAUAGCAUUUGCUCGUAAAGAAUCACCAAGACUAAGCACUACUUUCGCGUCCUGCCACAGCUCCUAUCUACUGUCCGAAGAAGCUCACAUACACUGCUCCUCUGAUUCCCGUAUACAUAUAAUUUGUGGUGGUGCUUUUGUGGAGGUUUGCGACUGUUCAGUUCAUUUGUGGUUCCAAAAAAUGAUAUCCAGCAGCCAUCAUCAUCACGUACUCAUCAAACAAAAUCAAUAGCAUCAAUUAGUGACAUGAUCUACUCAUCAAACACAACAAUAGCAUCAAUUAAAGCUUAGCUUGUUGCUCAAAGAUCAUGACGAAUCUUACUAAAUAAUAAAUAUGCACAAAUAAACUCAAAGACUGCAUUUUCCAUAAAAAAGUCAUAAGAAUAUAUAGAGGAAAAAUAUGAGCUGGUAUGGAUAUUGAACUCACAAUCAAUUGAAUCAUAAUGAGCAUAAAUACAAAACUUUUUUAAUGUACAUAUGAAAUUUUAACUCUCUAAAGUAAGCCUUUUGAAUCUAACAAGAAUCAGAGAAUAAAACCCAGAAAAAAUAAAAUCUUUACAAAUACUUACAAUCGUGUAGGAGACAAUCGAAUACGGUGAGAGUCCGGCGAGUAUGAGAUUGUUUUGGAGCAAUGAUUCCGAUCGAUUUUAAUAGAUGAUUGCGAUUGAUGGAAGCUGGUAUCAUCGCUAAGGUAUCGUGGGAGAACUCAGAAAGAGUGAGAGAGAUGUAAGUUCUAUGUGGACAUUGGUUCUAACGGAUAAAUCAAAGAGAUUGAGAGAGAGGAUAAUCGAAACUGUGGAGAAAACAAAGACUCUGGGAGAGAUGAGAAAGAUAAUUCUGAAACCCCAUGUUAUAGAUUGUAAUGA
RNAcentral lists this long non-coding RNA (1101 nucleotides) under Brassica napus (rape). RNAcentral describes it as "long non-coding RNA (BNAP_LNC013421)". The record is from RNAcentral. Lineage: Eukaryota; Viridiplantae; Streptophyta; Magnoliopsida; Brassicales; Brassicaceae.